RNAcentral lists this long non-coding RNA (313 nucleotides) under Homo sapiens (human). RNAcentral's name for it is "HSALNT0263008". The record is from RNAcentral. Lineage: Eukaryota; Metazoa; Chordata; Mammalia; Primates; Hominidae.
UAGAUAGUAAGAAACAUUAGGACAUUACCUGUGACCAAAAGACAGCGUGGAGUGAAAAGACAAGCCACAGAUGGGGACAGUAGCAAGAUAGAGCCAGACAGGGAACUCGUUAACUGGUUGACAGAAAGAGCUGUAAAGAAAAAGUCACGGGAAAGUGGGCAGUUUACCCGCCCUCAGAGAUUAAAUCAUGAGAAAGCGCUCAGUCACAGAGCAGGCAGAUGCUUGGGUCUGAGGGUCCUCUGGCAGCAGGUGGAGUGUGUGAGGAGAGAGGGCACCCCGGUGGGGGCUGCCAUAAGUAGGUGACGGUCGUGAG